UACGUAGGGUGCAAGCGUUGUCCGGAAUUAUUGGGCGUAAAGAGCUCGUAGGUGGCCUGUCGCGUCGGCUGUGAAAACUCGGGGCUCAACUCCGAGCUUGCAGUCGAUACGGGCAGGCUAGAGUUCGGCAGGGGAGACUGGAAUUCCUGGUGUAGCGGUGAAAUGCGCAGAUAUCAGGAGGAACACCGGUGGCGAAGGCGGGGCUCUGGGCCGAUACUGACACUGAGGAGCGAAAGCGUGGGGAGCGAACAGG
Molecule: ribosomal RNA, 253 nt
Filed under: uncultured bacterium
Lineage: Bacteria
Description: partial 16S ribosomal RNA
Rfam family: Bacterial small subunit ribosomal RNA
Source: RNAcentral